RNAcentral lists this ribosomal RNA (254 nucleotides) under uncultured bacterium. Its description in RNAcentral is "partial 16S ribosomal RNA". It matches the Rfam family "Bacterial small subunit ribosomal RNA", at positions 524 to 776 of the family's 1533-position model. The record is from RNAcentral.
UACGUAGGGGGCAAGCGUUGUCCGGAUUCAUUGGGCGUAAAGGGCGCGUAGGCGGCCAGCACAAGUCAGUUGUGAAAUCUCCGAGCUUAACUCGGAAAGGUCAACUGAUACUGUGCGGCUAGAGUGCGGAAGGGGCAACUGGAAUUCUUGGUGUAGCGGUGAAAUGCGUAGAUAUCAAGAGGAACACCUGCGGCGAAGGCGGGUUGCUGGGCCGACACUGACGCUGAGGCGCGAAAGCCAGGGGAGCGAACGGG